UACGUAGGGUGCAAGCGUUGUCCGGAAUUAUUGGGCGUAAAGAGCUCGUAGGCGGUUUGUUGCGUCGGCUGUGAAAUCCCGAGGGUCAACCUCGGGUCUGCAGUCGAUACGAGCAAACUAGAGUGUUGCAGGGGAGACUGGAAUUCCUGGUGUAGCGGUGAAAUGCGCAGAUAUCAGGAGGAACACCGGUGGCGAAGGCGGGUCUCUGGGCAACAACUGACGCUGAGGAGCGAAAGCGUGGGGAGCGAACAGG
Molecule: ribosomal RNA, 253 nt
Filed under: uncultured bacterium
Lineage: Bacteria
Description: partial 16S ribosomal RNA
Rfam family: Bacterial small subunit ribosomal RNA
Source: RNAcentral